RNAcentral lists this transfer RNA (84 nucleotides) under Aureibacter tunicatorum. Its description in RNAcentral is "tRNA-Leu". It matches the Rfam family "tRNA". Rfam says of the family: Transfer RNA (tRNA) molecules are approximately 80 nucleotides in length. Their secondary structure includes four short double-helical elements and three loops (D, anti-codon, and T loops). Further hydrogen bonds mediate the characteristic L-shaped molecular structure. tRNAs have two regions of fundamental functional importance: the anti-codon, which is responsible for specific mRNA codon recognition, and the 3' end, to which the tRNAs corresponding amino acid is attached (by aminoacyl-tRNA synthetases). tRNAs cope with the degeneracy of the genetic code in two manners: having more than one tRNA (with a specific anti-codon) for a particular amino acid; and 'wobble' base-pairing, i.e. permitting non-standard base-pairing at the 3rd anti-codon position. Lineage: Bacteria; Pseudomonadati; Bacteroidota; Cytophagia; Cytophagales; Persicobacteraceae. The record is from RNAcentral.
GCCCAGGUGGCGGAAUUGGUAGACGCGUUGGUCUCAAACACCAAUGGCAGCAAUGCCGUGCCGGUUCGACUCCGGCCCUGGGUA